GAAAAGUGCAAUAAAUUAAGAAGUCUGUAGGGAAAAAAAUUUUAUGGUCAAGUUGACAAAAAAGAAGGCAUGAAGCUAAUAAAUUGCGAAGUCAGUUUUCUUUAUUUUGAAAACAGUUUUGUCUUUUUGUUGCUAAUUCUAAUGGCAAUAGUUGGAUCUAUGACCCAUUCAUUAUCAAUAAAAAUCAUUGUUUAGAGCCCAACUCUUCCGAUACAUUGGGCCCGCAUCCUUCUUUGUCAAGUACUUA
This 247-nucleotide unclassified non-coding RNA is filed under the name Hevea brasiliensis (rubber tree). Lineage: Eukaryota; Viridiplantae; Streptophyta; Magnoliopsida; Malpighiales; Euphorbiaceae. The record is from RNAcentral.